This 229-nucleotide ribosomal RNA is filed under the name uncultured bacterium. Its description in RNAcentral is "partial 16S ribosomal RNA". It matches the Rfam family "Bacterial small subunit ribosomal RNA", at positions 568 to 796 of the family's 1533-position model. The record is from RNAcentral.
UGCGCAGGCGGACUUUUAAGUCAGUGGUGAAAUCCCGAGGCUCAACCUCGGAACUGCCAUUGAUACUGGAAGUCUUGAAUUUGGUUGAAGUGGGCGGAAUGUAGCAUGUAGCGGUGAAAUGCUUAGAUAUGCUACAGAACACCGAUCGCGAAGGCGGCUCACUAAGCCAAUAUUGACGCUCAGGCACGAAAGCGUGGGGAGCAAACAGGAUUAGAUACCCUGGUAGUCC